CACCUUCCCACUCAUCACAGGGAGCAGCACAAUACGGCCAGUGUGGGCCACACACUCGUAGCCACAGGAUCAAGCACCUCAGUUGCCAGGUGCCUUGCCUCUGCACACAGGAGCCAAGGAUAAUAGCCACAAGGGCUGCACAAACCACGACGUAUCCCAGAACACGAAUGACCCAACCCAGG
This is a non-coding RNA of Electrophorus electricus (electric eel), 182 nucleotides long. NCBI's taxonomy places the organism in Eukaryota, Metazoa, Chordata, Actinopteri, Gymnotiformes, Gymnotidae. The record is from RefSeq and is a predicted model, not a curated record.